RNAcentral lists this ribosomal RNA (468 nucleotides) under uncultured bacterium. RNAcentral's name for it is "partial 16S ribosomal RNA". It matches the Rfam family "Bacterial small subunit ribosomal RNA", at positions 28 to 507 of the family's 1533-position model. The record is from RNAcentral.
GACGAACGCUGGCGGCGUGCUUAACACAUGCAAGUCGAACGGAAAGGCCCUGCUUUUGUUGGGUGCUCGAGUGGCGAACGGGUGAGUAACACGUGGGUAACCUGCCCUUGACUUUGGGAUAACUUCAGGAAACUGGGGCUAAUACCGGAUAGGAGCUCCUGCUGCAUGGUGUGGGUUGGAAAGUUUCGGCGGUUGGGGAUGGACUCGCGGCUUAUCAGCUUGUUGGUGGGGUAGUGGCUUACCAAGGCUUUGACGGGUAGCCGGCCUGAGAGGGUGACCGGCCACAUUGGGACUGAGAUACGGCCCAGACUCCUACGGGAGGCAGCAGUGGGGAAUAUUGCACAAUGGGCGGAAGCCUGAUGCAGCAACGCCGCGUGCGGGAUGACGGCCUUCGGGUUGUAAACCGCUUUCGCCUGUGACGAAGAGUGAGUGACGGUAAUGGGUAAAGAAGCACCGGCUAACUACGUG